GAAAAUGAAAAAAAUGAAAAAAUUGAGUUUUGCAGAAACGUGUUAUUUCUUUUUCCAUUUCGAUCUUAUCCUAUUUCUCUUUACCUUCGGUGUGAAUUGAGAUAACCUAGAGAGGAGAUGCCCUAAUUCUUCUCUGCUCUGAGGCAGAAAUUGAAUCAACAAAUUCAACCAACAAUGAAGAAGAUGAAUAAUAAUAUAGCAGAUGAUGAUUGGUUUGAAGUCUGUCUACGUCUUCCUUUUGAUUCAAUCUUCAGAUUCAAGUGUGUUUCGAAGUUUUGCAGAACAAAACCCUACAGCCCGACUUAACUCAGGGUUUCCAUGUCCUGAGUUGAAUUCACAGUUUAUAUCUCAUCUUCAAAGUGUUAGCGGGUUCUCUCUUAGAUUCGUUAAUAAAAAGCAUGAGUUGUCGACUACAAAUUUAUACAUUCUAGGGUUUGGUUCUAUGCACAACUGAAUUUUCAAGUCAGAACAAUAAUUAUGUUUGUAAUCCACUCACUAAGAAAUGGGUUUCACUCCCACCACCACCAAGAGAAGCAAUCAAGGUUCACACUGGUUUUACAUGGGAAUCAUCACUAAUUUCUACGAGUUAUAAGGUUAUUCGUGUUUCUCAAGAAGAGGAUUCAUUCAAAAAUUGAUAUAUUUACUUCUGAUUUGGGUAAAUGGAAUGUCUAUGAUGUUUUAUAUACUCCUGGUGUAUGUCAGAGAUACUCCAUUUAUGACAAUUAUGUUACCCAUAAUGGCAUUUUUUACUGGUUCCAAAAGUUAUUCAACGAAGUUCUGGCUUUCAGUGUUGAUGGAAUCAACGACCAUCAAACUUGCGGCAACGAGUUUAGAAUGAUUAAUUUGCCUGAUCGAAUGAUGGAUGAUGCGGACAGUUAUUUUUUUCAAUCUAUUAAUGAACAAAAAAGGUUUUUCCAUCAAUGUCUAGGGGAAUCAGAAGGAUUGAUUUGUUACGCUAUUAUCAAACAUACAGAGGGGAGUUUGAGUGUUUGGGUACUUGAAGAAAACUGGUAUUUGUUGCACAAGGAUAUCGAAUUUUGUGACAUGCUAGCACAAAUGGAAUCUUCGUUAUUUGGAGGAGAAAGUACAGUUGAUUUGAUUAGAGAUAUUCAGGUUAUAGGUUUCAAUCCGGUUGACAAAAAUGUGGUUAUAAUUAGCUACAAGAAGCACAUUUUGGCUUACAACAUCAGAAACGGGGGAUGUGAACAACUCUCUCAUCCGUCUUUCUUGGGUAGCAAUCAUCCAGGUCCUUAUUCGGGUAUUUCAACAUUUGCUUUAAAGCCAAGGCCGACAAUACUUCCACCAGUCUCUUGGUGAACAACUCUCCCAUCCUUCGUUCCUGCAUCCCAAUCAACAUUUGCUAUAAAGCCAAGUCCGUCAGUACUUCCACCAGUCUCUUGGUGAAACACCUCAAUGUUGGAUGUUCAAUUAUGAAAGUAAGAGUGAAGGUGCGUAUCAUCAUAUUUCUUGUUUCAACAGAUAUUUAGGGAGUAGACUAGUUACUGUUACAUUCAAGAAAAAGAGACUUUGAGUCUUUGGUAAUUGCUUAAGAAGCAUGAAAUUGUCAUGUUUCCACUUGCAUGGAAUUACUUUGCUGUUGAGCUUUAAUCCAUCCAAUUUUAUUUUUGAAAGUUUUA
Molecule: long non-coding RNA, 1637 nt
Organism: Papaver somniferum (opium poppy)
Lineage: Eukaryota; Viridiplantae; Streptophyta; Magnoliopsida; Ranunculales; Papaveraceae
Exons: 2
Source: RefSeq, a predicted model, not a curated record